GAUGCUGAGUUCUCUAAAUUGCUUCACAUAAGAUGUAACACAAAACCACAUGUUCACCACUACAGGAAUAGUGUGGAAAACCAGGUGGUAACCAGGGUCUGCCUACCAGCACAAGGAACUCCAGAAAACUAUUCUUGGUGAUAACAGCAAAACCUCUACAGAAAUUUCACAUCUGCUAAAGCACAUGGCAUUUGCCUAGCACUGCCAAAGGAAAAAAAUAAUGUAUUCUUGUCUCCCUUCCACCUUCAAAAUCAUGCUCCAGUGCGCCUUGUUGUUAGAACAUAAAUUGUAUUCUAUUCCAUAGAGUCAAGAGAAUCUAGAGAAUGUGGUUUCUAAAUUCCCAGCUCCUUCAAAACAGAAGAAACCUUAGAAGGGUUUUGCUGCUUGCAAAAUGAAAUUAAACCUGCACACUUAUUUCUGUUCUCUUAAUAAAGACUUUGAAGAGGUUAA
Long non-coding RNA from Piliocolobus tephrosceles (Ugandan red Colobus), 450 nucleotides. RefSeq lists it as uncharacterized. Lineage: Eukaryota; Metazoa; Chordata; Mammalia; Primates; Cercopithecidae. The transcript is spliced from 2 exons. The record is from RefSeq and is a predicted model, not a curated record.